This 309-nucleotide ribosomal RNA is filed under the name uncultured eukaryote. RNAcentral describes it as "partial 18S ribosomal RNA". It matches the Rfam family "Eukaryotic small subunit ribosomal RNA", at positions 1470 to 1796 of the family's 1831-position model. The record is from RNAcentral.
CCCUUAGGUGUUCUGGGCGGCCCGCGCACUACAAUGGCGUGUGCAGCGAGUGCCGAAGUAGAGUUUUCCGAGGUAUUCUUGCAAUGCUCGUUUUGAUGGGGAUAGACCCUUGCAACUGUUGGUUUUGAACGAGGAAUUCCUUGUAAGCAUGGUUUAUCAUCCGACGCUGAAUGCGUCCCUGCCCUUUGUACACACCGCCCGUCGCUCCUACCGAUGAGUCGUCCGGUGAAGUUCGUAGACCUCGUGAUCGCGGAUCACUGGGGGAAGCAAAAUGAACCUCGCGGUUUAGAGGAAGGAGAAGUCGUAACA